UACGAAGGGGGCUAGCGUUGCUCGGAAUCACUGGGCGUAAAGGGCGCGUAGGCGGCCGAUCAAGUCAGGGGUGAAAGCCUGUGGCUCAACCACAGAAUUGCCUUUGAUACUGUUUGGCUCGAGACCGGAAGAGGUUGGUGGAACUGCGAGUGUAGAGGUGAAAUUCGUAGAUAUUCGGAAGAACACCAGUGGCGAAGGCGACUAACUGGACAUGUAUUGACGCUGAGGUGCGAAAGCGUGGGGAGCAAACAGG
This 253-nucleotide ribosomal RNA is filed under the name uncultured bacterium. RNAcentral describes it as "partial 16S ribosomal RNA". It matches the Rfam family "Bacterial small subunit ribosomal RNA", at positions 524 to 776 of the family's 1533-position model. The record is from RNAcentral.